Molecule: ribosomal RNA, 483 nt
Filed under: uncultured bacterium
Lineage: Bacteria
Description: partial 16S ribosomal RNA
Rfam family: Bacterial small subunit ribosomal RNA
Source: RNAcentral
GACGAACGCUGGCGGCGUGCCUAACACAUGCAAGUCGAGCGGGGAUUUAAGUGGAAGUUCUUCAGAAUGGAGCUUUAAAUUCUAGCGGCGGACGGGUGAGUAACGCGUGAACAAUCUGUCCCGGACAGGGGGAUAACACUUGGAAACAGGUGCUAAUACCGCAUAAGACCACGGCCUCGCAUGGGGCUGAGGUAAAAGGAGCAAUCCGGUUCGGGGUGAGUUCGCGUCCGAUUAGCUAGUUGGCGAGGUAACGGCCCACCAAGGCGAGGAUCGGUAGCCGGCCUGAGAGGGUGAACGGCCACAUUGGAACUGAGAGACGGUCCAAGCUCAUACGGGAGGCAGCAGUGGAGAAUAUUGGACAAUGGGCGAAAGCCUGACCCAGCACCGCCGCGUGAGGGAAGAAGGUUUUCGGAUUGUAAACCUCUGUCCUAUGGGACGAAGGAAGUGACGGUACCAUAGGAGGAAGCCCCGGCUAACUACGUG